This 247-nucleotide small RNA is filed under the name Arabidopsis thaliana (thale cress). Its description in RNAcentral is "ATSL243250". Lineage: Eukaryota; Viridiplantae; Streptophyta; Magnoliopsida; Brassicales; Brassicaceae. The record is from RNAcentral.
AUUUUUGUUACUAUUAUCCAUGAAUUAUUAUUUUGUUUAACAAUAUUAAUCCAUUUUUUGCUAUAUUUUAUAGAUUACAUUUAGUAUUCCAUUUGCAUUAGCUUCCAUUAUUUCAAGCAGUUCCGGUGCCGGUCAAGGUAUUUAAUUUUAACCUCUCCUUUUGUUUCUAAUUUGAACCUACAUUCUCAUAGUAAUGCUAAUUAAAAUGUGUGAACACAAAAAACGGUAAUGGAGAGAUCAGUUUCCA